RNAcentral lists this ribosomal RNA (311 nucleotides) under Coccophagoides fuscipennis. Its description in RNAcentral is "eukaryotic LSU rRNA". It matches the Rfam family "Eukaryotic large subunit ribosomal RNA", at positions 666 to 944 of the family's 3401-position model. Lineage: Eukaryota; Metazoa; Arthropoda; Insecta; Hymenoptera; Aphelinidae. The record is from RNAcentral.
CCAAGGAGUCUAACAUGUACGCGAGUCAUUGGGACUUUGAAAGCCUAAAGGCGUAAUGAAAGUGAAGGUCGUCCUCGCGUCGACCAAGGGAAGAUGGCCCGCGUCACGAUGCGGGCUCGCACUCCCGGGGCGUCUCGUACUCAUUGCGAGUUGAGGUGCACUAAGAGCGUACACGUUGGGACCCGAAAGAUGGUGAACUAUGCCUGGUCAGGACGAAGUCAGGGGAAACCCUGAUGGAGGUCCGUAGCGAUUCUGACGUGCAAAUCGAUCGUCGGAACUGGGUAUAGGGGCGAAAGACUAAUCGAACCAUC